Molecule: transfer-messenger RNA, 376 nt
Filed under: Chitinophagaceae
Lineage: Bacteria; Pseudomonadati; Bacteroidota; Chitinophagia; Chitinophagales
Also listed under: 2 other names
Description: SpSt-398 sp017303415 Standard tmRNA
Rfam family: transfer-messenger RNA
About the family: Bacterial tmRNA, also known as 10Sa RNA or SsrA, is named for its dual tRNA and mRNA-like properties. Its role is to liberate the mRNA from a stalled ribosome. To accomplish this part of the tmRNA is used as a reading frame that ends in a translation stop signal.
Source: RNAcentral
GGGGGCGCUUGGUUUUGACAGCAUAGAUCUUUGAAAGUGUAAGCAUGUUCUGCGUUGCGUAAUUAGCAGGCUAAUCUGAAUACGCAAAACACAAAUGGCAAUACUCAGUAUGCCAUGGCUGCCUAAUCAGUGAUUAAGUAGUCAUUAGGGCCGCGUGAGCAGGUUUGAUCCGUUUCCAAGCUCCGCCGCCGACUCAAAACCAAAACGGGUUGCUAUCGCCAUAGGCUGUGCCGGCGGUCUAAGACUUAUACAGCUAAGGUAAUGAUCGGUCGCCCGGUUUUCCAGUCAUUACCCGACACCCCAAACCAGGAUAAGCAUGUAGAAGACUUUUGGGGAAUAUGUUUGGACACCGGUUCGAUUCCGGUCGCCUCCACUU